RNAcentral lists this ribosomal RNA (998 nucleotides) under uncultured Ascomycota. Its description in RNAcentral is "SSU rRNA". It matches the Rfam family "Eukaryotic small subunit ribosomal RNA", at positions 46 to 1057 of the family's 1831-position model. Lineage: Eukaryota; Fungi; Ascomycota. The record is from RNAcentral.
AAGCCAUGCAUGUCUAAGUAUAAGCACUCUUUUACUGUGAAACUGCGAAUGGCUCAUUAAAUCAGUUAUCGUUUAUUUGAUAGUACCCUACUACAUGGAUACCUGUGGUAAUUCUAGAGCUAAUACAUGCGCAAAACCCCGACUUCGGAAGGGGUGUAUUUAUUAGAUAAAAAACCAAUGCCCUUCGGGGCUCCUUGGUGAUUCAUAAUAACUUCACGAAUCGCAUGGCCUUGCGCCGGCGAUGGUUCAUUCAAAUUUCUGCCCUAUCAACUUUCGAUGGUAGGAUAGUGGCCUACCAUGGUGGCAACGGGUAACGGGGAAUUAGGGUUCGAUUCCGGAGAGGGAGCCUGAGAAACGGCUACCACAUCCAAGGAAGGCAGCAGGCGCGCAAAUUACCCAAUCCCGAUACGGGGAGGUAGUGACAAUAAAUACUGAUACAGGGCUCUUUUGGGUCUUGUAAUUGGAAUGAGAACAAUCUAAAUCCCUUAACGAGGAACAAUUGGAGGGCAAGUCUGGUGCCAGCAGCCGCGGUAAUUCCAGCUCCAAUAGCGUAUAUUAAAGUUGUUGCAGUUAAAAAGCUCGUAGUUGAACCUUGGGCCCGUCCUGCCGGUCCGCCUCACCGCGAGUACUGGUCCGGAUGGGCCUUUCUUUCUGGGGAAUCCCAUGGCCUUCACUGGCUGUGGCGGGGAACCAGGACUUUUACUGUGAAAAAAUUAGAGUGUUCAAAGCAGCCGUUGCUCGGAUACAUUAGCAUGGAAUAAUAGAAUAGGACGUGCGGUUCUAUUUUGUUGGUUUCUAGGACCGCCGUAAUGAUUAAUAGGGAUAGUCGGGGGCGUCAGUAUUCAGCUGUCAGAGGUGAAAUUCUGGAUUUGCUGAAGACUAACUACUGCGAAAGCAUUCGCCAAGGAUGUCUUCAUUAAUCAGGGACGAAAGUAGGGGAUCGAGACGAUCAGAUACCGUCGUAGUCUUAACAUAAACUAUGACGACUAGGGAUCGGG